AGAUUAAGUUAUUAAGGGCGCACGGUGGAUGCCUUGGCACUAGAAGCCGAUGAAGGACGUUACUAACGACGAUAUGCUUUGGGGAGCUGUAAGUAAGCUUUGAUCCAGAGAUUUCCGAAUGGGGAAACCCAGCAUGAGUUAUGUCAUGUUAUCGAUAUGUGAAUACAUAGCAUAUCAGAAGGCACACCCGGAGAACUGAAACAUCUUAGUACCCGGAGGAAGAGAAAGAAAAUUCGAUUCCCUUAGUAGCGGCGAGCGAAACGGGAAGAGCCCAAACCAACAAGCUUGCUUGUUGGGGUUGUAGGACACUCUAUACGGAGUUA
Molecule: ribosomal RNA, 323 nt
Filed under: Staphylococcus aureus
Lineage: Bacteria; Bacillati; Bacillota; Bacilli; Caryophanales; Staphylococcaceae
Description: partial 23S ribosomal RNA
Rfam family: Bacterial large subunit ribosomal RNA
Source: RNAcentral